AUUGAACGCUGGCGGAAUGCUUUACACAUGCAAGUCGAGCGGCAGCGCGGGGCAACCUGGCGGCGAGCGGCGAACGGGUGAGUAAUACAUCGGAACGUACCCAGUUGUGGGGGAUAGCCCGGCGAAAGCCGGAUUAAUACCGCAUACGACCUGAGGGUGAAAGGGGGGGAUCGCAAGACCUCUCGCAGUUGGAGCGGCCGAUGGCGGAUUAGCUAGUUGGUGAGGUAAAGGCUCACCAAGGCGACGAUCCGUAGCUGGUCUGAGAGGACGACCAGCCACACUGGAACUGAGACACGGUCCAGACUCCUACGGGAGGCAGCAGUGGGGAAUUUUGGACAAUGGGCGCAAGCCUGAUCCAGCCAUGCCGCGUGAGUGAAGAAGGCCUUCGGGUUGUAAAGGCUCUUUCGGUCCUGGAAGAAAUACGCAUGGGUUAAUACCCUGUGUGGAUGACGGUACCGGAAGUAAGAAGACACCGGCUAACUACGUGCCAGCAGCCGCGGUAA
RNAcentral lists this ribosomal RNA (503 nucleotides) under uncultured bacterium. RNAcentral describes it as "bacterial SSU rRNA". It matches the Rfam family "Bacterial small subunit ribosomal RNA", at positions 29 to 523 of the family's 1533-position model. The record is from RNAcentral.